AGGUGGUGCUGUCACUCGUCUCUGCUCGGCCCCAAAAUAGUCCUGAUUAAAUGAAGAGGUGCAUGUCCUCAGGAUCAUCAUUUCUGCCGAUGAUAGAAAUCUUUCACUGGAUCUCCACAGCCGUUCUGAAGGCAGGUCUGGAUGGUGUGUGAGUGAGUGGAGAAGUGUCCAUGUCGAGAUGAAGCAGGUCACAACUGUCUCGUUGCCAAGAGUCACUGCUGCUCACGUCGCCUGCGAUCACCAACUCGCUUGAAAAUGAACAAGCUGCUAAAUGCAGAGGUGCUUUUCACACUGACAGCCAUUUGCAGUGACAAAGCAUCUGGAAGUCAUUCAUUUUCAAUGAGAGCUGGAGAUCUGAGGAGGCCAGAAACACAGAUUGAUGGCAAUGCAAUUAAGGAAGGAAGGUAACACUUUAUAGUAACUUUAAUUUACAAAUCAU
Cyprinus carpio carpio is the source of this 439-nucleotide long non-coding RNA. The record is from Ensembl. Lineage: Eukaryota; Metazoa; Chordata; Actinopteri; Cypriniformes; Cyprinidae.